AGAGGGGUGGGGAGCUGUUUUUGGAUUCUAUUUGCUUUUAUUUUGAAGGAUUUAAUCAUCAUUACAGCUCUAAUAAUGUACUUAGCAUUGGAGCUGCCAGUACUAGCAGAACUCUGGUGUUAUUACCUGUCUGUAGCUCAGCUGGGCUUAAAGCAGGCCAGGUAGAGACAGAAUGAGACAGUCUUUUGCCAGAUGAUCCCAAAUGGGAAACCCACCUUUACUGACAACAGUGGAAGUAUGGCAGCAUUAGCAGUGUCAAGGUGUUUAUAGAAAGGCUUGAUGUGUAGAGGGCCCUUCUGGAGAACCUACUACUUUAUUCCUCAGCCAAAGGGUAGAAAAGCAACUAUUUGCUUUUUUGGGUACCAUAAGGUUGAUGUCUUUCAAAACUACUCGAGUUGUUGAGUAUGACGGUAAAGAAUAUUGGCAUGGCUGUUAUUUUCAAAGCUUAAAUAAGGCAGACACAUGACUUUAGCAAACGCAUGUGAAGUUUGCAUAUCAUAAAUCAUUGCAAUAAAGAAACCAAAACAAAAUAGCAGCGUGUCGUUAAAGCUGGAAUAUGUUUUCCAUUUGAAAAGAACAGAUUUCCUCGGGUUUGACUUGGCUUCGUUUUCAUGCCUGUGGAACAGUGGAGUACCUCAGGAAUAUUAAUUCAUUGCCAUUGUGAGACAGAAAGUUCCCAUCUUCACAAAUGGACCCAGUAUAAAGUACAGCAGAAGGUUAUCUCCUUUUUUUUUCAUACACUGAAGCAACAGCAGCUUUAACUGCACUGCCAAAUACUGUGCAACAAUUAGAACAGCUGGGAAGACAAAGCAGGAAAAAGAAAGUGGAAGAGAAGAGCUGUGUCCCAAGCUUGUAUUUUGGCUGCCAUUUUAAGAAGCGCACCCUGUUCCAAAUAACAGUUUUGUAAUUGUGUUUGAAGAUCACAGCAGAUGUUAGGGGUGAUACAUGCGCAGCACGUGAGUUCCUUGUUGUGUGCAGAGAACUGCCCAGUGAGGGUCUGGUAUGGUGGGAGGGGGAAGACAUGCAGCCCGCCUGUAGGGACCAGCGUGGAGGUUAGUCAUCCUGCUGAGUCAACAGGAGACACCAGCACCUCCAAAGGGUGCUUCUGCCUACUUGUCAUCUAAAGUUAGACAGCUAAAGUUGGUUGCUAAAAAGGAGAUGAGAUGAGGGAAAGGGUUUUCACAGCAGAUGUAUCCGCCCUUCUGUCAGCAAUUCUACCUCUUCACCCACCUCUACGCAUUUGCAUAGGGAAUGAUUCCUGGCUGGUAUUUUCAUGGAGUGAAUCCUCACUUAUCAGAACACGAUAAUAGCUUGUGUUCCUAUUUACAGAGGUCUACACGUAUUGACUUGUCAGUCACCAAUUUCCAGGCAUCUAAACUCUAUAUUGCAACAAUCAGAAAGAGUUAGGGAUUUUCCAUCCUCGCAAAUAACUUUCCAAGAAAGUCAUCAGAAACAGUUGGAUAAACACAGUGAAGCUUGUAAAACUCCAGGCAAACUGACAGUGCAGCCAGAAUUAGAAAGUCUGAGGUUUUUUUCUGAUGUGAUUCUGGACUAGUGUUGAGAUAAACCCGGUGGAAGCAGUGAGGCCUAACCUCUAGGAACCUUCAGUCUGGAGGGCCUUCCAUCCUGUUCUACUGUCUCAGGCCACAGCUUUGUGGUGUCUGAAAGUGUGCUGAAAUAUUUGUGUUGGUAUCAUUUGGGGUUCCUGCAGAAAGAAGGGCCCGGCUACACCAAUCCUAUCAGCAGGGUAGUGGAAACAAAUGCAACAUAAUAAAAUGCACAAACAACACUUGUCUGGUGGCCUGAAGCACUGCUUUCCCCGUUUGGCCUGCAGUACCCACUGAAGUCAGUGUAAUGAUCUCCAGCAGUUUAUCCUGGCUUUGGAUCAUGGUAUUCACAGCAAACGUUUGUUUUUGAGUGCCAAGAAGACGGAGGAACUGUGUUGUACAACUGUUCCACAACGCGCUGCACUCGUAUUUUGGCUGAUUUUUUUUUUUUAUUGUAUUUUUAAAGAUGUUUUUCUUUAUAAAAAGUCAUUUUCUUACUUUAAUCUCAGGAGAGAAUUUUCCAUUCUGUCCAUCCUUCCUCUUUUUAUUACAGCAUCUGCUAUAAUUAAGUGUUGAAUUGUAAGAACAGCAUUACAUGCUUCUCUCUUUUUCCAAACGAUUCCUGGCGCUGAGAAUGAAAAGUAAAUAUACGUUUUUAGUUCUGUGUGUAACUCCACUGGCUUAUUUUCAUCUUUCGAUAGUGCUUUUCAGGCUGUCAACUUCUCCUUAUCCUCCUUGUUUCUCGGAUCCCUGAGCUUGUCUAGAGACUGAUGCUGCAGCAGGGCAAGGUAAAGCACUGUAAAAUAACUAAAGAAUUGUGAGAAAAGAACAGGCACUGCCGCAGGGACUCACAUACUAAAACAUCUCAAAAAACCUUCUGAAAAACAGACCAGCUGUUGAGUUGACAGCGUCCUUUUGAGAGUUUAUGUUGAAAGGUCCUGUGACCAAGUUUUGGCCAAGCAGAAGUGUUAAUGAGUUUCUUUGAAAUGAAAAACAUUCCUAUAGACAAAAAUAGAUAGUACUGAAAUAUCUCGCAGUCGUUAUUUACUAUUUCUGUGUGAUCCCCUGUCCAGAUUUAUAAUGAUCAUUUGCUGUGCCAGCAGAACUUAAACCAUUGUGGUUUUGUCUUUAAUGCUAUAAUUAAAAACAGGAUGAUUUUCAUGGGACUAGAAUAAUCUGUAAUUCUUGUGAGAGCUCUAUCUUUUAAGCAGCCUUAUCUAAUAUAUAAUCUUCACUGACCUGAGUGUGCAGACACAUUUUUGACACGUACUGAUGUCUUCACUGAGGAAUUACACACACUUAGGGUUAUUUCAAUCUGAUAUCUCUAGAUAUCUAACCUCUCACUAGUUCUUCACACUCUGUUGGAUGAAUGGAUGUUCCUUAUCAUGCAGUAAAAAGACCAGUCUGGCAUCCCUUGUAUGUUCAUUAGGGCAGACCAUGCAUUACAGCAGUACUCAGUGAGGAGUAAUUAUAGAGGACAGGUAGAAAGUUAGCUCCUAGAACAACAUUUCUUUGCACUGGAAUAGUUACCUAUUCUGAUGUCUAAUGUUUAAUCAGCACCAUUUGUCUACAAACAGAUUUCAGCCACGAGGAAACUUUUGACUUGCUCUUAAAAGUUUUGUUCUGAAAAUGAUUUAUGUAAGGUGUUUGAAUCUUGAACCUGCUUUGUCUAAUAGUAUUAAUAACCUGGGGCAGACAGUGUUUAUAUGGUACCACGCACCCUGACGGCACUUAGUAAAUAAUGAAAUAAAUCACGGGCUUUGUUUCUGUUUAAACAUUGUGCUUGCCCUCUGUGGAUACCAGUCUUCUGGAUCCUGCUCAACAACCUCAUCUGGGUGAAACUGGAUAUUGUGCCAAUUUUAUUCCAGCCCUGUUAACGUAUGGCAACAAUACAGACAAUGCAUCAGUGGACAAAGAACUCAUAGUCCUCCUCUGGAUUUAUGUGGCAAGGUUUUGGCACUGGGGAGGCCUGCAAGAAGCCCAGCAGCUGCCCCAUGUCAGAUCACAGCCCUUGUAGGAGCAGCCCAGGUCUGAGCUGCAGCCCAUGGAGAGCAGCCUGCAGUGGGGCAGGAGGGCUGGGGGAGCUGCCACCUGUGGGACCCAUGUGGAGCAGUGCCUGAAAGGUGGGCUCCGUGGUAUGGAGCUGUGUUUGAACAGUGCUGGGAGAGCUGCAGUGUGUGGGACCAGACCAGGAAGGACAGCAACCUGUGGGGAGAGACCCACAUAAAGCAGAAGCAGAGAGUGACUGUGGAGGAGCAGAAGAGAUGAAGCUUUAUGGAAUGACCACAGCCCCCUUUCCCUAUUCCCCUGCACCUGCUGAGGGAAGGAGAUAGAAGUUGAGCCUGAGAAAAGGAGUUAUGCUGAGGAGCCCUGAGGUGGCCCAGAGGACAGGAAAGGACAACAUUCAAAACUCCAGCAACCAGUGAAAGAGGAAUUAAUGUAUUACUCACUGAAGCCUCUACAAAACCAGACUAAAACGCAGUUGAAAGCCUUUGCCAACUCUGGAACUCAAAGUCUGCUAUCCCCAAAGCAAGAGCAGCCAGAGGGAAUUGGGAAGGGAUCAAGGAAGAGUGGGGAGGAGACAAAAUCUCAAAGACCACCGGGAUGAGAGGUAUUCACCACCUUAGGCAUCAGCACACAAAGGCUGCGUGCCCUGCAGAGCCCAACAGAAGUUACUAUGUUGAGCAGAGGGUUUCUUGGUCAGAGUUAUGGAGGAGACCAAGCUAGACAGUCUGGGGCUGAACUGUUUACAGUGUGUAGUUUGAGUUUGAGCACCCCACUGCUUGCUCUGUGAUAGCAGCUGUAGCAGUACUGAGUGGUAAAUGAGUGAGUAACGGCAAGCUGGCAGAGCUGAGGCUGCAGUAAGAGACACGCACGUAUCUGGAUGGUUCAGGCAUGCCCCGUGUCAGCCGUGAAUUCUGCAGUUUGUGUUAAUAAGUGGAGCAUGCAAGUUGUCUGCUUGCCAUAGGGUGAGUGGCAGCCAGGCAGCCUGCAAAAAUGGAUGUCGUGAGGGCACCGAAACGAAGAGCUGAACACACUAUCUGGAAAGAAAUCUCUACAGAAGGAAAAAAGGGAGAUACCGUUCUGCAUGUCUGGGCUAGUGUGAAUUCAUCAGGCUUUGUGUUUGACUGGGAGCCAGGUAUAGUGUACAAGUAACUCUUGUUUGCUCUGCUUGACCUAAAUCCAAGUUUUGCUUUGUCAGGUUUUGUCCGACGUGUGUUCUGUUUCCCCGCUGUGUAGUAACAGUGCUGGAGGCUGGGUGUUAGCAUUGGCAAUCUGAUGACUCAGUCACUCAAGUAUGAAGGCCAUACUGUGGCAAUAGGGAGGAAGUAAGGACAUGUAACCUUACCAUGUGUUUUGUGGUGGUCCAAGCUUUCAGUUCAUGCUGAAAGAAUUCUUAUUUGUGAAGUUUCAAAAGGAUUAAAUGCAGACUGUCCUUGCAUUCUAGACAGCAGUCAGGCACCACAAGCAACCUUCUUCUCUGCCAACAGCGUGUUUGGGGACAUAAUGCCUCGUUUGGUUAUUUAUAAACAGUCAUUUUCCAGGAUCGACACCUACCAGAGCCAGCCAUCCACCUCCACUGCCUUCCAUUCCUUGGCAGCCAUUCCUGAAGCAGAAAUGCAUGGGUAGCAAGAGUCCUCCAGCUGUUCUCAUCUUCAGUCCCACUGGUUUGGGGGUCUUGGGCUGGUAAGAGAAGCAUCUGCUGUUUGAAACCCUGCCUUCAACAACCACGUUGCUAUAAAUAAGUUUCCAGUGCUAAAAGUCAGGAACUGUAGCAAAUAGAUAGGAGGACUGCCAGCUCUCAGAUACCCACCUGAGGUUGGGUCACAAGAGGAAAUCACCCUGGUACAGUAUCUGUGCAAACACCAGAUCCCACUCAUUUCUCAUGUUCACAAGUUUGAUCUAAGCAAAGCACUCUACUCAUGGACAAUGUUAAAUGCUGGUCAUCUCAGAAGAAGAUCAGGUGAGCUCAGCACCACGCAGCUACUCACUCACUCUCCCCAAGUAGAAUGGGAAGAGAAUUGGAAAGGUAAGCAAAAUAAGGAACUAAUAUACAGUUUCCCAUUGGCAGGUGGGUGUUCAGCCACAUCAGGAGAGCGGGGCUGAUCACCUGUAACAGUUCCUUGGGAAGAUAAAUUCCAUCACUUUGAACGUUCCCCUGCUGUUUUAUUGCUAAGCAUGAUGACAUAUGGUAUGGAACAUCCCUUUGGCUAAUCUGGGUCGGAUGCUCUGGAGUAGCACUUGGAGUGGAUACAUGCCCAGGCCACCUGGUCCCAAGCACAGUCCCAAUUUAAGGCCACCAUCUACUUUGUAAUCCUACCACAGAGAAAUUGAAAGCAUCAGAGCUUCCUGCUGGCCAGCAGCUUGCUUCAUCUGAGUGCUCCUGUGCCUUCUGCUCUCCAUGGAAGGGUGCAGCAGACACCGUGCCACAGACCCCUCUGUGUGCCCUCUGCCUCUCAUCAGUGCCAUCAGAGAACCGCCCUGGGGAGCCUGGGCUGAGACGUGUGCUUGUGUGUGUGCAGCACGUGCGUGUGCGUGCGCCUGUGCACACACAGCUGUGUUUGUUUUGUGCUGCAGAUAGGAGAAAACAAGAUUAUUUAUGUUCUAAUAACUGUGUGUUCCCUGUGCGAACUAUUUUCUGCUCUGAUUUAUUGUUCUCCUUAGGCCUGCCCGCAAGCAUUGUUCUUAUACUUGGAGCCGGUCACACUGUUUUCCAUCUGCAAAUGGAAAUCUUAAGUCUAAUGGAGUAUUUAUGAACCAACAAAGAAGAUUUGGAGGAAGGAGGAGUUUCACUCCUUUGUUUUCCCAUUAUUCUUUUCCUCUCGUCUUUCCCUUUACGCUUUCUCCCACCUCCCCCUUUUCCCAUGGCAUCUCUGAAAGGCGGGAGCUUUUCUCCUUACGCUCCUCAGGAGUUUUGCCUCAAUCUCAGACAAAUUUUCACGCAGUCUGGCUAAAAAUUCUUUUAAAGUCUUGGCUUUAAAUCUUUCCCCUUUACUGGGUGGUUUAAAUUCUCCUCACUAGCUCAGAGUCUCAGUCUUUUUUGAGGCGUGAAAUCCCCGCAGUUCCCUUGCCUACACAGCAAAAGGAGCAUGAAUAAGGCAGGAGGCUGUGUAAAAAAAGACAACACAUGAGAGAACAAUAAAAACUUGGUUAAGAAAAA
This is a non-coding RNA of Coturnix japonica (Japanese quail), 6708 nucleotides long. NCBI's taxonomy places the organism in Eukaryota, Metazoa, Chordata, Aves, Galliformes, Phasianidae. The record is from RefSeq and is a predicted model, not a curated record.